UACGUAGGGAGCAAGCGUUGUCCGGAAUCAUUGGGCGUAAAGCGCGCGUAGGUGGCCUCAUAAGUCCGCUGUGAAAGUCAAAGGCUCAACCUUUGAAAGCCGAUGGAUACUGUGAAGCUAGAGUACGGAAGAGGCGAGUGGAAUUCCUGGUGUAGCGGUGGAAUGCGCAGAUAUCAGGAGGAACACCAAUAGCGAAGGCAGCUCGCUGGGACGUUACUGACACUGAGGCGCGAAAGCGUGGGGAGCGAACAGG
RNAcentral lists this ribosomal RNA (253 nucleotides) under uncultured bacterium. RNAcentral describes it as "partial 16S ribosomal RNA". It matches the Rfam family "Bacterial small subunit ribosomal RNA", at positions 524 to 776 of the family's 1533-position model. The record is from RNAcentral.